Molecule: small nuclear RNA, 107 nt
Filed under: Mus spicilegus (steppe mouse)
Lineage: Eukaryota; Metazoa; Chordata; Mammalia; Rodentia; Muridae
Source: RNAcentral
AUGCUCGCUUCGGCAGCACAUAUACUAAAAUUGGAAUGAUACAGAGAAGAUUAGCAUGGCCCCUGCACAAGCAUGACAUGUAAAUUCAAGAAGUGUUCCAUAUUUUU